GUCCUGGCCUUAAACGAUGGAUGCUUGGUGUCUGGAGUUUUAUAGUCUCCUGGUGCCGUAGCUAACGCGUUAAGCAUCCCGCCUGGGGAGUACGGUCGCAAGACUGAAACUCAAAGGAAUUGACGGGGACCCGCACAAGCGGUGGAGCAUGUGGUUCAAUUCGACGCAACGCGAAGAACCUUACCUGGGCUAGAAUGCCUCUGACAACUCCAGAGAUGGAGCCUCUUAGGGAAACCUAGGCAGAGUGCAAGGUGCUGCAUGGCUGUCGU
RNAcentral lists this ribosomal RNA (269 nucleotides) under uncultured bacterium. Its description in RNAcentral is "partial 16S ribosomal RNA". It matches the Rfam family "Bacterial small subunit ribosomal RNA", at positions 793 to 1055 of the family's 1533-position model. The record is from RNAcentral.